RNAcentral lists this ribosomal RNA (420 nucleotides) under uncultured soil bacterium. RNAcentral describes it as "bacterial SSU rRNA". It matches the Rfam family "Bacterial small subunit ribosomal RNA", at positions 26 to 451 of the family's 1533-position model. The record is from RNAcentral.
AGAUUGAACGCUGGCGGCAUGCCUAACACAUGCAAGUCGAACGGGAGUAGCAAUACUCUAGUGGCGGACGGGUGAGGAAUGCGUAGGAAUUUGCCCUUAAGUGGGGGAUAACCCGGGGAAACCCGGAUUAAUACCGCAUGACCUCGAAAGAGCAAAGUGGGGGAUCGCAAGACCUCACGCUUUUGGAGAAGCCUACGUCGGAUUAGCUAGUUGGUGAGGUAAUGGCUCACCAAGGCGACGAUCCGUAACUGGUCUGAGAGGAUGAUCAGUCACACCGGAACUGAGACACGGUCCGGACUCCUACGGGAGGCAGCGAGUGGGGGAAUAGUUGGGAACAAGUGGGCGCAAGCCUAGAUCAGCAAUGCCGCGUGUGUGAAGAAGGUCUUACGGGUUGUAAAGUCGUAACUUUAAGUAGGAAAG